This 500-nucleotide ribosomal RNA is filed under the name uncultured bacterium. RNAcentral's name for it is "partial 16S ribosomal RNA". It matches the Rfam family "Bacterial small subunit ribosomal RNA", at positions 30 to 523 of the family's 1533-position model. The record is from RNAcentral.
AUUGAACGCUGGCGGCAUGCCUUACACAUGCAAGUCGAACGGCAGCACGGGAGCAAUCCUGGUGGCGAGUGGCGAACGGGUGAGUAAAGUAUCGGAACGUGCCCAGUCGUGGGGGAUAACGUAGCGAAAGUUACGCUAAUACCGCAUACGAUCUAUGGAUGAAAGCGGGGGAUCGCAAGACCUCGCGCGAUUGGAGCGGCCGAUAGCAGAUUAGGUAGUUGGUGGGGUAAAGGCGCACCAAGCCGACGAUCUGUAGCUGGUCUGAGAGGACGACCAGCCACACUGGGACUGAGACACGGCCCAGACUCCUACGGGAGGAAGAAGUGGUGAAUUUUGGACAAUGGGCGAAAGCCUGAUCCAGCCAUGCCGCGUGCAGGAUGAAGGCCUUCGGGUUGUAAACUGCUUUUGUACGGAACGAAAAGGUUUGGCCUAAUAAGCUGAGCUCAUGACGGUACCGUAAGAAUAAGCACCGGCUAACUACGUGCCAGCAGCCGCCGUAA